This 478-nucleotide ribosomal RNA is filed under the name uncultured bacterium. RNAcentral's name for it is "partial 16S ribosomal RNA". It matches the Rfam family "Bacterial small subunit ribosomal RNA", at positions 28 to 523 of the family's 1533-position model. The record is from RNAcentral.
GACGAACGCUGGCGGCGUGCUUAACACAUGCAAGUCGAACGGUAAGGCCCUUCGGGGUACACGAGUGGCGAACGGGUGAGUAACACGUGGGUGAUCUGCCCUGCACUUCGGGAUAAGCCUGGGAAACUGGGUCUAAUACCGGAUAGGUCCCUGGGAUGCAUGUCCUGGGGUGGAAAGCUUUUGCGGUGUGGGAUGGGCCCGCGGCCUAUCAGCUUGUUGGUGGGGUGAUGGCCUACGAAGGCGACGACGGGUAGCCGGCCUGGGAGGGUGAACGGCCACACUGGGACUGAGAUACGGCCCAGACUGCUACGGGAGGCAGCAGUGGGGAAUAUUGCACAAUGGGCGCAAGCCUGAUGCAGCGACGCCGCGUGAGGGAUGACGGCCUUCGGGUUGUAAACCUCUUUCAGCACCGACGAAGCGCAAGUGACGGUAGGUGCAGAAGAAGGACCGGCUAACUUCGUGCCAGCAGCCGCCGUAA